RNAcentral lists this ribosomal RNA (217 nucleotides) under uncultured bacterium. RNAcentral describes it as "partial 16S ribosomal RNA". It matches the Rfam family "Bacterial small subunit ribosomal RNA", at positions 1002 to 1212 of the family's 1533-position model. The record is from RNAcentral.
AGAGAUGCGGGAGUGCCUUCGGGAAUUAGAAUACAGGUGCUGCAUGGCUGUCGUCAGCUCGUGUCGUGAGAUGUUGGGUUAAGUCCCGCAACGAGCGCAACCCUUGUCCUUAGUUACCAGCGGGUUAAGCCGGGAACUCUAAGGAUACUGCCAGUGACAAACUGGAGGAAGGUGGGGAUGACGUCAAGUCAGGUGGCGAGACGCACAGGAGGUAGUG